This 393-nucleotide ribosomal RNA is filed under the name uncultured bacterium. RNAcentral's name for it is "partial 16S ribosomal RNA". It matches the Rfam family "Bacterial small subunit ribosomal RNA", at positions 523 to 918 of the family's 1533-position model. The record is from RNAcentral.
AUACGGAGGAUCCGAGCGUUAUCCGGAUUUAUUGGGUUUAAAGGGAGCGUAGAUGGAUGUUUAAGUCAGUUGUGAAAGUUUGCGGCUCAACCGUAAAAUUGCAGUUGAUACUGGAUAUCUUGAGUGCAGUUGAGGCAGGCGGAAUUCGUGGGGGAGCGGGGGAAUGCUUAGAUAUCACGAAGAACUCCGAUUGCGAAGGCAGCCUGCUAAGCUGCAACUGACAUUGAGGCUCGAAAGUGUGGGUAUCAAACAGGAUUAGAUACCCUGGUAGUCCACACGGUAAACGAUGAAUACUCGCUGUUUGCGAUAUACGGCAAGCGGCCAAGCGAAAGCGUUAAGUAUUCCACCUGGGGAGUACGCCGGCAACGGUGAAACUCAAAUGAAUUGGCGGGG